This 232-nucleotide unclassified non-coding RNA is filed under the name uncultured fungus. RNAcentral describes it as "sequence contains ITS1, 5.8S rRNA gene". Lineage: Eukaryota; Fungi. The record is from RNAcentral.
UUGAAUAAACUUGGUCAAGCUGUUGCUGGUCCUUCGGGGCAUGUGCACGCUUGCCACCAAUUUUAACCACCUGUGCACCUUAUGUAGAUUGGAAACGUUUCUCGAGGCAACUCGGAUUGAGGACUGCUGUGCGCAAGCCGGCUGUUCUUGUGUUUCACAAUCUAUGUUUUCAUAUACUCCCAAUGUAUGUAUCAGAAUGUAUUGCUGGGCCUUUGUGCCUUUAAAACAAAUA